CCUGAUAGCUUAGUUGGUAAAGAAUCUGCCUGCAAUGCAGGAGACCCUGCUUCAAUUCCUGGGUCAGGA
Molecule: transfer RNA, 69 nt
Filed under: Bos taurus (domestic cattle)
Lineage: Eukaryota; Metazoa; Chordata; Mammalia; Artiodactyla; Bovidae
Also listed under: 4 other names
Rfam family: tRNA
About the family: Transfer RNA (tRNA) molecules are approximately 80 nucleotides in length. Their secondary structure includes four short double-helical elements and three loops (D, anti-codon, and T loops).
Source: Rfam by way of RNAcentral